AAAAUACUCUCUUUGUCCGGUAUUAAGUGUCGCAACUUUGUCUAGAUAUGCAUGUAUCUAGACGCGUUUUAGUGUGUCGGUAGAUGCGUAUCUAGACAAAGUUGCGACACUUAAUACCGGACGGAGGGAGUAAUUG
Brachypodium distachyon (stiff brome) is the source of this 136-nucleotide non-coding RNA. The record is from Rfam. NCBI's taxonomy places the organism in Eukaryota, Viridiplantae, Streptophyta, Magnoliopsida, Poales, Poaceae.